Molecule: long non-coding RNA, 887 nt
Filed under: Rosa chinensis
Lineage: Eukaryota; Viridiplantae; Streptophyta; Magnoliopsida; Rosales; Rosaceae
Description: sRNA RchiOBHm_Chr5g0048871
Source: RNAcentral
AGCUGGCACCCAUUUGAUCAAAUUGGGGGAUUUGAUUGAGCAAUUAGAGAUCUUUGAAGGAUUGAGCUCCGGGCAAGCUUCUUAUGGUUUAUUGGUUUUAAAUUUUGAUACAUGCAGUUUUGGGUGGCUUUAAUGAAUUUGGGAUCUUCAAUUUUGUUUAGAUUGUGAAACUCUAUAAUCCAAGAAUACUAUCAGCUUGCAUAAUAUGAUAACCAUAUAUCUAAUGGCCUUAUUAAGUGAUAACCAUCAUCGUGUCCAGCUAAGUAGAGCUCUAACAUAACCUAAGGUCCAAACUUUAUCUGUGAUAACACAAAUGUUUCAAUUGAAAUCAUUCAGAUCAUUAAAACACAAAGAUGUAGAAUUUAUUAAUUUUCAUUGUAAACUACACCCUCCAUUUAUGUAUUUGACUAUUUUUGUGUUUCACUGUUGAAUUUGAACAAAGAAUAGCAUGACUUACACAUUUAUUUCAAUUUCACUUUAGACCUAACCGGAAACAUUGGAGUUGACUUUUAGUCCAGUUUCACAAUGUUAGUAACCGAAAGAAGCAUUAGCUUUCCUGCUAGCCAAAUCUUAAUUGGAAUGGAACAUCUUGGCCGGUACUUGAUGUUGCUUUGAAAUUGUUGUUUAGUCUGGUUGGAAUUGAAUUAGUGUUCUAUUCAUAUCUAGAAAUGGUUUAGUCAUAAACAAGUAUAUAAAGGCAGCAAUAUCUCACAGAAAUCAAUUUGAAAUGGUUUGUAUAUAUUUGCAUUCUGUUUGUAAGAUAACUUGCCAUCAAUCAUUAUUAUAUGUGAUAAUUGAGAUUUGUCUUGGUGUCGGAUUGUGAUUGUGGAAUCCCUGAAGGUGGUUAGCUUGCAAGGAUUUGCCUCAAUUUUGGAGCCUAACCUCUG